AGGGUCUAUUUCUUCGAAAUCAUCACAAUCACAUAAUAUGUUCCAUGGAAUAAAAAAGGUGUGGUUGAAUGAGGUUGAGGUUGGUGUAGUAGAGUUUUUUAUGUGAACAUGAUGGGUGUAGCUAAAGUUAACGUAGAAGCGUUCACGUAGAGGAAAGUUUUGUGGGAUGGAGUUUUGGCUAGGUUCUACAAUUUCAACAGUAUAGAAAGGAUUUAUAGUGGAGGCCAUGGAAGAAUAAGAAUGGUGUAUGAUAUAUAUGAUUAGAAGAGAGGGUGAUAAUUGAU
RNAcentral lists this long non-coding RNA (284 nucleotides) under Lupinus angustifolius (narrow-leaved blue lupine). RNAcentral describes it as "long non-coding RNA (LANG_LNC001587)". Lineage: Eukaryota; Viridiplantae; Streptophyta; Magnoliopsida; Fabales; Fabaceae. The record is from RNAcentral.